UGGGGAAUAUUGGACAAUGGGGGGAACCCUGAUCCAGCCAUGCCGCGUGUGUGAAGAAGGCCUUAUGGUUGUAAAGCACUUUAAGCGAGGAGGAGGGUACUGGUAUUAAUACUACCAGGUACUGGACGUUACUCGCAGAAUAAGCACCGGCUAACUCUGUGCCAGCAGCCGCGGUAAUACAGAGGGUGCGAGCGUUAAUCGGAUUUACUGGGCGUAAAGCGUGCGUAGGCGGCUAAUUGAGUCGGAUGUGAAAUCCCCGAGCUUAACUUGGGAAUUGCAUUCGAUACUGGUUAGCUAGAGUGUGGGAGAGGAUGGUAGAAUUCCAGGUGUAGCGGUGAAAUGCGUAGAGAUCUGGAGGAAUACCGAUGGCGAAGGCAGCCAUCUGGGCUAACACUGACGCUGAGGUACGAAAGCAUGGGGAGCAAACAGG
RNAcentral lists this ribosomal RNA (430 nucleotides) under Pseudomonadota bacterium. RNAcentral describes it as "Proteobacteria bacterium partial 16S ribosomal RNA". It matches the Rfam family "Bacterial small subunit ribosomal RNA", at positions 355 to 776 of the family's 1533-position model. Lineage: Bacteria; Pseudomonadati; Pseudomonadota. The record is from RNAcentral.